RNAcentral lists this small nuclear RNA (23 nucleotides) under Arabidopsis thaliana (thale cress). Its description in RNAcentral is "snRNA_07476". The record is from RNAcentral. Lineage: Eukaryota; Viridiplantae; Streptophyta; Magnoliopsida; Brassicales; Brassicaceae.
AAACGCGGUAAUUGCGGUGCAAG